Molecule: ribosomal RNA, 523 nt
Filed under: uncultured archaeon
Lineage: Archaea
Description: bacterial SSU rRNA
Rfam family: Archaeal small subunit ribosomal RNA
Source: RNAcentral
GGGCGACAGCAUGAUGAAGGCCAGGCUGAAGACCUUGCCUGAUCCGCUGAGAGGUGGUGCAAGGCCGUCGUCAGUUCGUACUGUGAAGCAUCCUGUUAAGUCAGGCAACGAGCGAGACCCACGCCCACAGUUGCCAGCGAGCCCUUCGGGGUGGCGGGUACUCUGUGGGGACCGCCGCUGCUAAAGCGGAGGAAGGAAUGGGCAACGGUAGGUCAGUAUGCCCCGAAUCUCCCGGGCUACACGCGGGCUACAAUGGUCGGUACAAUGGGUAUCUACCCCGAGAGGGGAUGGAAAUCUCCUAAAACCGGUCGUAGUUCGGAUUGAGGGCUGCAACUCGCCCUCAUGAAGCUGGAAUCCGUAGUAAUCGCGUUUCAACAGAACGCGGUGAAUACGUCCCUGCUCCUUGCACACACCGCCCGUCAAACCACCCGAGUAGGGUAUGGAUAAGGGUGCGCCAUGUUGACGCAUUCGAAUCUGGGCUUUGCAAGGGGGGUUAAGUCGUAACAAGGUAACCAAGGGCGAA